ACUCAAAGGAAUUGACGGGGGCCCGCACAAGCAGUGGAUUAUGUGGUUUAAUUCGAAGCAACGCGAAGAACCUUACCAGGGCUUGACAUCCAACUAACGAAGCAGAGAUGCAUUAGGUGCCCUUCGGGGAAAGUUGAGACAGGUGGUGCAUGGUUGUCGUCAGCUCGUGUCGUGAGAUGUUGGGUUAAGUCCCGCAACGAGCGCAACCCCUAUUGUUAGUUGCUACGCAAGAGCACUCUAGCGAGACUGCCGUUGACAAAACGGAGGAAGGUGGGGACGACGUCAAAUCAUCAUGCCCCUUAUGUCCUGGGCUACACACGUAAUACAAUGGCGUUUAACAGAGGGAAGCUAAGCCGCGAGGUGGAGCAAAUCCCUAAAAGGCGUCUCAGUUCGGAUUGUAGGCUGCAACUCGCCUGCAUGAAGUCGGAAUUGCUAGUAAUCGCGGAUCAGCACGCCGCGGUGAAUACGUUCCCGGGCCUUGUACACACCGCCCGU
RNAcentral lists this ribosomal RNA (495 nucleotides) under uncultured bacterium. RNAcentral describes it as "partial 16S ribosomal RNA". It matches the Rfam family "Bacterial small subunit ribosomal RNA", at positions 899 to 1397 of the family's 1533-position model. The record is from RNAcentral.